This 1230-nucleotide long non-coding RNA is filed under the name Anas platyrhynchos platyrhynchos (common mallard). Its description in RNAcentral is "lncRNA (ENSAPLG00000030633.1)". Lineage: Eukaryota; Metazoa; Chordata; Aves; Anseriformes; Anatidae. The record is from RNAcentral.
GGCAACUGAAGCAGUUUUCUGUGGACUGAGUGCCUGACUUUCUCAUUGUCUUUUGUUCAUACUGGCUUUUUCCUCUUCCUAAAAUAACUUGAUCCUGCGAACGAACCAUUCAGCAGCCUGGAACUUGAAACUCAAGCUGAAAAAAGGGCAGAGAGACUAGAAGUGGAUCCAUUCCAAUUCAGUCACUGACUUCCCUUCAGAGACUGCCUUCAAAUUGGUUCAAGUUACAGUAACAGUUUUCAUGGUAGAAACACAGUUUUGGUGAGAACUGGACUGAAUCUUCCAAGUGUCUGUGACUGUAUAAGGACUGUAUAAAGAUGUUUUUUCCACCUGUGAUGACUGCUCUUGAUUCUUUGUUGCCCCUCUCUGAGUUUUGGUUCUGAGGUGAGGUGAGCACUUGCAUUGACUUGGCAAAAACUAACCCUUAAGGGUCAUCUUCUUAAAAGAUGGAGUUUGGCAUUGCCGAAUUAUACCAGUUCAAGGAACAGAGCAAAAAGUCUAGAGUUAAAUCACUGACUUGUGUUCAUUUGAUACAAUUCGGUUUUGAAUGUUCCCAUUAGAGAAGAAAAAGAAUAAAACAGCAGGAGAUCUUGUCUCUGAGGAAAGCCAAGUUUAAUAGUGCAUUCUCUGCUUCAUUGCUUAUUCCCAAGUUAUUAAGUUUUGCAAUCUUCUUGUGCUCGAGAGUUGAGAAAAGAAAAUGAUUUUUUAUAAAUUUGCCUAAUGUCAUGUAUUGACGGAGAUUUCAAAGCCACUAAAAAUUACUAAGUUGAAAGUUUGUGAUGAUAGUGCAUCUCUACAGCUUUCCCUUUGCUUAUGUAGAUUGCUUGCAUUUCACUUCUAUGCCUAAACAUGACUUGCAUCAACUUCCAAUUCUUCGUACCCUAGUGCUGCCUAACAGCAGCAAACAGGUUCAGUGCUUCCCAGAAAGCAUGAUAACAUACAUCGUCUUCCUAAAAAACAGAAUUCACAGGUUAUAUUGCUAAGUGACAUUUUCUGUAGAUGUUUGUACUGUUGAACAAUUUAUUUCCUUUCUCCAUAACAGAUUGUAAAACGGGUGAAAAGCAUCUCAUGUCCCGACAUGCAAAAGGGCUUUCAAAUAGCCUCUCCACCAGGGACAGGAAUGUCUUCUGUUGUGGUGAAUUGCUAGGCGAUAGCUCUUGCCAUGUAAUGCUGAACAGGAUGCAGCAGGAAAGUCACAUGCACACAAAGUCACCAGCAGCUCAGUCUUGA